UGUUCUCAGAAAGUACACCAUUUUAAAAUAACAUGGCUACAAUUGGCAGCUACUUGGUGGGUGGAAGCAUCAAAGAAUGUCGUCUGUUUUUAAGGGUGGCAAAGGCGUCUAUCACUCUAUUGUGAUUUAGGUGCUGAAGCUCCUCUUUUUCAAUUGACAUGACUGCAAGACUGUGAAUGCCAUGACUUUCACUCACAACACAAUAAUUGUUUACUCCCAAAUAUUUUGAAGUCACACAGAAUAUAUUUUGGGCACAUAUGUGACUAAAAUGGUUGUAAUUUUAAGCCCUGAAAAAAUAUAACUUAAUUACAUAAAUUACAGUUAUAUUAAGGUACUCUUGAAAAUAUUUGGGCCAGGCUAAUUUGGCUUAUACAUCACUCUCUUGUAGGGAUGCACGAUAUAUCGGCAUUAAUAUUGGUAUCGGCCGAUGUUCGUCAUUUUUUAACAUAUCGGCAUCGGUCCAAUGAGUAAAACUGCGCCGAUUUUAACAACCGAUGUUAAUACCCGUCUAUUUGCUGUUUGUGUAUGUGUGUCGGGAAGGGGAGGCCAUGCUGCAUUUCUUUGAACAUGUUACAGUGACGCAAGUGCAGCACAAGGUGUGUGUGUGUGUGUGUGUGUGUGUUGAGGAGAGAUAAUGUCAGCGGUGUGGGCGUUUUUUCAGGGUGUCGAUAGAAGAUACGCGAAAAGCAUUAUGCAACACUUGCAAAGUUGAGAUAGGCCUGCAGUCAUAGGCCUAAUGACGCCACUGACUCUCCUAAAUAAAAGCUCAAGUUAAAUAAG
Molecule: long non-coding RNA, 780 nt
Organism: Solea solea (common sole)
Lineage: Eukaryota; Metazoa; Chordata; Actinopteri; Pleuronectiformes; Soleidae
Exons: 2
Source: RefSeq, a predicted model, not a curated record